CAAAAAUCACAAAACAGUAAAAGGAAUGGAAAAUGACUUUAUUUCUUCUUCUUAAAAAAAAAAAAAGUAAAAUAAAAGCCCAUAAUUGAAUUAUAUUCUGAAACAUUUGUUUAGUAUUAUUUCCAUGCUUAAUAAAAUCAUUAUAUUUCUGCAUAAAUAAAUAAACAUUUACAAAGAGGGGGAAGAACGAGAAGAAUCAGAGACGAAGGUGUCAUUCUCUGAAUCAUUGACGACCAAUCAAUCGAUCAACAACUGAUCAAAUGGACAAUUCAUUGAUGGCCUGUAGACAUGCAGCCAAUCGUCUUCCUUCCUUCUCCAUACAUGAAAUCCCCCAUUGGGUAUUAUAUCAUAUUAUAUUUAUAUACCGCAUAAUGUAAUUAUCUCUCAGGUUCAGAAAAAUUUAACAAAAUAACAUAGCAGAUGUGUGUGUGUGUGUGUGUUUGUGGAUGCAGCCCAAAUGACAAUCUCUUCCCUACUGUACGUAGUUCACUAAGUAAUGCACUCUGUAGGGGACAGGCUGUCAUUUAGGAUGUAUAUUAUGUGUGUGUUUGUAUGUACAUAGUAAAUCACCAGGCAGCAGUCAGAAGAGUAGUUAUCCCAAAAAAAAUUACAUUUAGAAAAAAAUUCAUGUGCACAGGAAAAUCUUUGAACGAACACACCGACUGGAAAUGAGGGAAGUUAUGUUGUUUGUUUUGUUUUUAACAAAUAAAACAAAUACAUUUCAGGGAUUUAUCCAAAUGUAUCCAAUCAUAACCCCAAAAGCCUCCCCCAUUCCUUUGUGCGUUUCAGAUUGACUGACACGUAUCGGUCUCGUAUGAAAAGGAUCACACACAGAGGCUGCUCACUUACAGAUAGUAUCAAAAAGACCCAUUUCAAUAGGAGUCAAAGUAACAUGGCAUCUUUGGAAAAGUGGAUCAGGCUACACCCUUCAGACCAAUGCAUUUUGAGAAGACAGGAAUCAAGGAAAGACAAUUGAGAUUGGAUAGGUCUGUUUAGGUUAGGGGUACCGGUUCUUGUAGCAGGUUAGGUUAGGGGUACCGGUUCUUGUAGCAGGUUAGGUUAGGGGUACCGGUUCUUGUAGCAGGUUAGGUUAGGGGUACCAGUUCUUGUAGCAGGUUAGGUUAAGAGUGCCUUUUCAACACGGACACUUGAGCGAGUUGACAGGGUAGAUCAGAUCAUGCUUUUAACUAGCCUGGAAUCCAAGCUAAUAUGCUUACAGUCUUGUUUCACCAGUCUAGCUUUUAAGGUGUAGCGAGGACAACAAGACAUCAUGACCAUGUAUUCAUUGAGGAGAGAAGACUCUCCACGCUGUCACUCUCUCUGCCCUUCCACCACUUUGAAACCAGCUCAAAUUUACACAAAACACCUCCAUUUACAGGCAGGACUUAUUUUAUUAAUUGUUUUUCUGCAUGGAAUCCCAAAAAUAAUAAGUAAAGACAAACUGGAGAACACAAGAUGUGAUCAAUUCAGGAGAAAGGAGAGAAAAAAAUGUUUUGGGAGAUUUCACUUUUUUUUUUAUUUUUAUGGCAAACAAAAAGUUGUAUUCCAAAUGGCACCAGUUUCCCUAUAUAGUGCACUACUUUUGACCAGAGCCCUGUUCCCUAUAUAGUGCACUACUUUAGACCAGAGCCCUAUGGCUUAGGGUUGGUCCUAGAACUGCUACCCAGAGCUCCAUGCCCACCAGAUUCAGGGACUGUAUGAAUCCGGGGAGUCCAGAGAAGGGCAUCUGUUUUGGGCCACAAAGAUUGAGGAUAGCCCUUAACUUCCAAACCACCACUCAACAACCCCCCUUACAUAGGUGCUGCUAUAGCAAGGCUAUCCUUUAGACAAAGACACAUUUCAGAAAGACUACAGGCCUCAUCUUUCAUAAGGAUUAUAUAUCACCCUUAGCCAGCCGAUUGGCUAUCGAUGCAUAUAUAUUCCAAUCCAAGACAGUUUUAAAGUUUCCAGGAUUGAUGGACACUGUGGAGUGGGGACAUGCCCACUCACAGCAGAAGCAGUGAAGGCCAAUGACAGAGCCCAGAGAAACAGGAAGUUAGAUGGGGAUUCUAAAGCCGUAUCUAAAGGAGAACGAAGAAGAGACAGCACCUUGGGGGUAAUUCUAGAGCUGGGUCUACCUGACAGUAUACAAGGAGGGGGAUAUUUUAUAACUAUAAUCUACCCGGCACUGGAUGAGACCAGAGGAAGAAUCUAGAGCUGUACGUACUAGACAGGCAUUGGAGAGACCAGAGGAAGAAUCUAGAGCUGUACAUACUAGACAGGCAUUGGAGAGACCAGAGGAAGAGAGUAACAGAGUUUCAUAAAAGGUGUUAUGUUAAUAUACAUCAUUAUCAUUUAGGUUUAUGACAUCUAAGCAGGUGUCUGGAGAGGUUGGACUUGCGAGCAAAGCUGAGAAAGCAGUACAUACUAGACAGGCAUUGGAGACCAGAGGAAGAAUCUAGAGCUGUAUGUACAUCAGGUAGCAUAGUCAUCAUAGACUUCAGCGCCAAGAUAUUAGCCUGGUCCCAGGUCUGUUUGUGCUUUUGCCUACUCUACUGUCAGCAUUUAGCAUGACAAUUACAUAAGAAGUUGGCAAGAGAGCACAGACCUGCUACCAAGAUCCAGGAAACAGACCUGCUACCAAGAUCCAGGAAACAGACCUGCUACCAAGAUCCAGGAAACAGACCUGCUACCAAGAUCCAGGAAACAGACCUGCUACCAAGAUCCAGGAAACAGACCUGCUACCAAGAUCCAGGAAACAGACCUGCUACCAAGAUCCAGGAAACAGAGCGAAAACAGCCCUGGGUGAGCAACACAUGAGCAGGAAAACACACCAAUGCGUUUUAUACAAGGGAAUUACGACAGUGGAAAUUGUGGCCAUUUGUCCAAAAGAUGUUAACCCCACACCUAUUUCACCUGAGCCCCAAUAGUUACACUGACAUCCUUUCAUAAAGCAAUCUGGGAACUAGAGUGUUAUCAAACCAGUAGUGGCUUGUCCAUUUUACACUCCAUGUGUCCCAAAAAGUAUUUAACAAUAAAGUAACCCUUGGCAAUAAGGUUCAGAAUGUGAACCAGUAACAACCUGGACACAGACUGUUCAGAACACCGUGAAACACCGUGAAACACCGUGAAACACCAUUAUGGGAGUUGUCUUACACUCAACAAGACAUCAUCCCUUGACACCAGAAGUUACUUGGACAUCCUUUCAUAUGACAUCUUGAAAUUUGGGAGGAAAAUUGACAGAGCAUUGCUUUAGAACAAUACAUAACGAGUAAUGACAUUAUGAUUAAAAAAAUAUAUAAAAAUAAAAAUUGACAUUAUUACCACCAGAAUUAUCCCAGAAAAAUCUAACAUUGUUCAGUAUGUGUUUCUGCAUGUGUAUGUGUGUGUAACGUGCUACAUGCAUGUGUGUACAUCUGUAUGUACACGUUAUUGCAUGCCUGUGUGUGUGUGUGUGUGUGUGUGUGUGUGUGUGUGUGUGUGUAAGCAUGAAUCCGUCAAAAUUCGAGGGCACAGCAGGAUGAGGAAACUGUUUUUACAAGAUACAGACGCAGUAGAGAGGAGGGGAUAGAAACAUUUUACAUCAGGAAUGUUCCCAAAUGGCAACCUAUUCUCUAAAUACUGUAGGCCCCUACUUUUAACCAGGGCCCUUAGGGCAGUAGUGCACUUUUAACCAGGGCCCUUAGGGCAGUAGUGCACUUGAUAGGGAACAGGGUGCCAUUUCAGAUGCGCUCAACAGUUCUCUAGCUCUCUCCAUGGACAGACAACAAUACAUAAGAAGCAGCCGAGAGUUGGGAGGAUGGUGAGGGUAGAGGGGUGUCCUUAAUGUUUUCUAUGCAGUCUGAUUGAUGGUAGGAUGAUGGUGAGGGUAGAGGGGUGUCCUUAAUGUUUUCUAUCCAGUCUGAUUGAUGGUAGGAUGAUGGUGAGGGUAGAGGGGUGUCCUUAAUGUUUUCUAUCCAGUCUGAUGGUAGAAUGAUGGUGAGGGUAGAGGGGUGUCCUUAAUGUUUUCUAUCCAGUCUGAUGGUAGGAUGAUGGUGAGGGUAGAGGGGUGUCCUUAAUGUUUUCUAUCCAGUCUGAUUGAUGGUAGGAUGAUGGUGAGGGUAGAGGGGUGUCCUUAAUGUUUUCUAUCCAGUCUGAUUGAUGGUAGGAGGAUGGUGAGGGUAGAGGGGUGUCCUUAAUGUUUUCUAUCCAGUCUGAUGGUAGAAUGAUGGUGAGGGUAGAGGGGUGUCCUUAAUGUUUUCUAUCCAGUCUGAUGGUAGGAUGAUGGUGAGGGUAGAGGGGUGUCCUUAAUGUUUUCUAUCCAGUCUGAUGGUAGGAUGAUGGUGAGGGUAGAGGGGUGUCCUUAAUGUUUUCUAUCCAGUCUGAUGGUAGAAUGAUGGUGAGGGUAGAGGGGUGUCCUUAAUGUUUUCUAUCCGGUCUGAUUGAUGGUAGGAUGAUGGUGAGGGUAGAGGAGUGUCCUUAAUGUUUUCUAUCCAGUCUGAUUGAUGGUAGGAUGAUGGUGAGGGUAGAGGGGUGUCCUUAAUGUUUUCUAUCCAGUCUGAUUGAUGGUAGGAUGAUGGUGAGGGUAGAGGGGUGUCCUUAAUGUUUUCUAUGCAGUCUGAUUGAUGGUAGGAUGAUGGUGAGGGUAGAGGGGUGUCCUUAAUGUUUUCUAUCCAGUCUGAUUGAUGGUAGGAGGAUGGUGAGGGUAGAGGGGUGUCCUUAAUGUUUUCUAUCCAGUCUGAUGGUAGAAUGAUGGUGAGGGUAGAGGGGUGUCCUUAAUGUUUUCUAUCCAGUCUGAUGGUAGGAUGAUGGUGAGGGUAGAGGGGUGUCCUUAAUGUUUUCUAUCCAGUCUGAUGGUAGAAUGAUGGUGAGGGUAGAGGGGUGUCCUUAAUGUUUUCUAUCCAGUCUGAUGGUAGAAUGAUGGUGAGGGUAGAGGGGUGUCCUUAAUGUUUUCUAUCCAGUCUGAUUGAUGGUAGGAUGAUGGUGAGGGUAGAGGGGUGUCCUUAAUGUUUUCUAUCCAGUCUGAUUGAUGGUAGGAUGAUGGUGAGGGUAGAGGGGUGUCCUUAAUGUUUUCUAUGCAGUCUGAUUGAUGGUAGGAUGAUGGUGAGGGUAGAGGGG
This is a long non-coding RNA of Oncorhynchus tshawytscha (Chinook salmon), 5076 nucleotides long. The record is from Ensembl. Lineage: Eukaryota; Metazoa; Chordata; Actinopteri; Salmoniformes; Salmonidae.